This 226-nucleotide unclassified non-coding RNA is filed under the name uncultured fungus. RNAcentral's name for it is "partial contains 18S rRNA, ITS1, 5.8S rRNA, ITS2 and 28S rRNA". Lineage: Eukaryota; Fungi. The record is from RNAcentral.
AAGGAUCAUUACAAAUCCAUCACGUCUCUCUUUUGAGACCACGUUGAAAUGUUCCCCAAGGCAUAUGGGGGCACCCGGGAAGGCGCUUCGUCGUCCUCCCGAGUGUCUCUCUACUUGGGCUUACAAUCAUCAAACUAGUCUUCCUGUUGCACAAUUGUAUCUGGAUUUUCAUCCAUUCAAAAAUGAAAAACUUGUACAACUUAUAACAAUGGAUCUCUAGGCUCUU